UCCGGCUUAGCUCACUUCGUAGAGCGCAUGACUGUUAGUCAAUAUGACAUCAAUUCGACCCUGACAACCGGAG
Molecule: transfer RNA, 73 nt
Filed under: Lactobacillus crispatus
Lineage: Bacteria; Bacillati; Bacillota; Bacilli; Lactobacillales; Lactobacillaceae
Description: tRNA-Asn
Source: RNAcentral